UACGGGGGGGGCAAGCGUUGUUCGGAAUUACUGGGCGUAAAGGGUCUGUAGGCGGCCAACUCAGUCGGACGUGAAAUCCCUCGGCUCAACCGGGGAACUGCGUCCGAUACUGGAUGGCUUGAAUCCGGGAGAGGGAUGCGGAAUUCCAGGUGUAGCGGUGAAAUGCGUAGAUAUCUGGAGGAACACCGGUGGCGAAGGCGGCAUCCUGGACCGGUAUUGACGCUGAGAGACGAAAGCCAGGGG
RNAcentral lists this ribosomal RNA (243 nucleotides) under uncultured prokaryote. RNAcentral describes it as "partial 16S ribosomal RNA". It matches the Rfam family "Bacterial small subunit ribosomal RNA", at positions 524 to 766 of the family's 1533-position model. The record is from RNAcentral.